GGAUCUCUUAAAGCUGUUCUCAGUUCGGACUGCAGUCUGCAACUCGACUGCACGAAGCUGGAAUCGCUAGUAAUCGCGGAUCAGCACGCCGCGGUGAAUACGUUCCCGGGCCUUGUACACACCGCCCGUCACACCAUGGAAGUCUGCAAUGCCCGAAGCCGGUGGCCUAGCCACUUAUGUGGAAGGAGCCGUCUAAGGCAGGGCAGAUGACUGGGGUGAAGUCGUAACAAGGUACC
RNAcentral lists this ribosomal RNA (236 nucleotides) under uncultured bacterium. RNAcentral's name for it is "partial 16S ribosomal RNA". It matches the Rfam family "Bacterial small subunit ribosomal RNA", at positions 1269 to 1500 of the family's 1533-position model. The record is from RNAcentral.